UACGGAGGGCGCGAGCGUUGUUCGGAAUCACUGGGCGUAAAGCGCGUGUAGGCGGCUUUGCAAGUCGGGUGUGAAAUCUCGAGGCUAAACCUCGGAACUGCACUCGAUACUGCUUGGCUCGAGUCCCGGAGAGGGUGGCGGAAUUCCAGGUGUAGGGGUGAAAUCCGUAGAUAUCGGGAGGAACAUCAGUGGCGAAGGCGGCCACCUGGACGGUGACUGACGCUGAGACGAGAAAGCGUGGGGAGCAAACAGG
RNAcentral lists this ribosomal RNA (253 nucleotides) under uncultured bacterium. Its description in RNAcentral is "partial 16S ribosomal RNA". It matches the Rfam family "Bacterial small subunit ribosomal RNA", at positions 524 to 776 of the family's 1533-position model. The record is from RNAcentral.